Molecule: long non-coding RNA, 1581 nt
Organism: Portunus trituberculatus (swimming crab)
Lineage: Eukaryota; Metazoa; Arthropoda; Malacostraca; Decapoda; Portunidae
Exons: 4
Source: RefSeq, a predicted model, not a curated record
GAGAGUACCCACCACAAGAUUGUCACAGUCGCAGAAGGACUGAGUGUUCCUGGCGGCGCAGCAAACCUCCCGCGUCGGAUUCACGAGAGUAACGCCUGUGGAGCCCGCCAGCGUUGUUCGGCUGCCGGUAAACAUCCACUAUGAUAUUAAAAAGCCACGCCACGGCUUCAACCAUGGAUUCGUCGAUGGUGCUGACUGUGGAGGGAGGGAAGAGACUGAGAAGAGAGCGAAGACAUAACGGAGUGGAGACUAAGGAAGGAAAGAAGCGAGUAAAGGGAACAAGGAAAGUGACGAACGAGUACUUGUAAGAGGAGACGAAAGACAGACAGUUGCGUCCCUGCCAAGUCUGCACCAUCCGUAUCAUCCUUAUCUAACACGGAUACACGCAAAGCAGAGAAUCACUUACUGAGUGUGAGCUGCGCCGUUGUCCUCUGCGCCAGGAACAUCAUCAGCAUCACCAAAUUCCACCAAAGACAAUGAAUGAGAAGACAAUUUGCAGAAGUGAUGGAGCCUAAACAGUUUCGUGUUCAGACCGCAGCCGCUGACGCUGUUGUAUGUCCGUCAUCCAGCUGUUGGUCGUGGAAGAGCAUAAAUUGGAGGUGGGAGGGCAUGCAUGGACUUCAAAAAAGUAAAAUCAAUAUGCUCAUAAAUAUGCACACCCAUUCGGCUGUAGCUUGGCCUGAUCAAUAUCUCCUCGAGAAAGAAACCGAAAAGACCUGAGUAUAAAAUAAAUGCCUAAAUGACUAAGUUACCGUGCGUAGCCAAAUUGCUUCAUGUUAACAUUAUGCUCGUCAUCGUUCAAAAGUCGCUUGAACAUAUUUGGAAGUACAGCCGUUGUAGUCUCUCGGUUUAACACGACUUUCGCGGUACUAUGUUGGCUAAAUGAUGGGUAUAGAUUAAUUCCACACACUGCUUGCCCUUAUCAAUCAAUUUUAUCAUUAUUAUACUUCACUUACGUUGCAGUAAUGUCAGCUGGAUUGAAAUAAAGUCUCACCACAUAUGAUUCAACAAAGAGAGAGAGAGAGAGAGAGAGAGAGAGAGAGAGAGAGAGAGAGAGAGAGAGAGAGAGAGAGAGAGAGAGAGAGAGAGAGAAACAGCUGAGUGGUGAAACUCAUGAAACAUAAUUAUAAUUUUUGAAUGGAAGACUGUUUACAUCGUUCAUCGUAACAAUCUACAGGACCGCCAAGUGCGUCAUUAUACGCCACUGAUCACACAAAUAUUCGUCGCGGCUGUGGAGAAACAAAGACUCAUUGAUCGUGCCCGCACCUGAUGAGCCAAGCCUAGGAACAGUGACAUCAUCAAUCCCAGACUGAGACUGUAGAACCUUAAUAUGUUUGGCCCACCCAUGAAGAAGAAUUACGCAUCCACUCUGCCUGGACCGAAAGUGGCGGGCACUGUCACAAGCCACACUUCCUGGCAGAGAAUCACCUUUGAGGGAGAAAGGCGUGGUCGAGCAGCGCUAAGAGGCCAGAUUUGGUUAUUGGGAACAGUGUGAAUCUCCCUCCGCUAUGGAUCUAUUUAGUCAUCAUGAGUCAAUGGAUCCCGGCCUUCAUGUUAUCUGAUAAAUGAGUGAUCUGUGUA